RNAcentral lists this ribosomal RNA (694 nucleotides) under uncultured archaeon. RNAcentral's name for it is "bacterial SSU rRNA". It matches the Rfam family "Archaeal small subunit ribosomal RNA", at positions 115 to 811 of the family's 1478-position model. The record is from RNAcentral.
UAUGCUGGGGAAUAACCUCGGGAAACUGAGAAUAAUGCCCCAUAGUUCACUACGCCUGGAACGGUGAGUGGAUGAAAGCUCCGGCGGCAUAGGAUGGGCCUGCGGCGUAUCAGGUCGUAGGGGGUGUAACGUACCCUCUAGCCAUCGACGCGUACGGGUGUUGGGAGACAUAGCCCGGAGAUGGAUUCUGAGACACUAAUCCAGACCCUACGGGGUGCAGCAGGCGCGAAAACUUGGCAAUGCGAGAAAUCGUGACCAGGGAACUCCAAGUGGCUGGGGUAAGACCCAUUCUUUUCUUGACUCUUCAAAGGUCUUGGAAUAAGAGGUGGGUAAGGACGGUGCCAGCCGCCGCGGUAAUACCGGCGCCUCAAGUGGAAGUCGAUUUUAUUGGGCCUAAAACGUCCGUAGCCUGUUUGGUACAUUCUUGGGUAAAUCAACCAGUUCAACUGGUUGAAUUCUGCGAGCACGGCCAGACUUGGGACCGGGAGAGGUGUGGGGUACGCUCAGGGUAGGGGUAAAAUCCUGUCAUCCUGAGCGGACCACCUGUUGCGAAGGCGCCACACUAGAACGGAUCCGACGGUCAGGGACGAAGCCUAGGGGCACGAACCGGAUUAGAUACCCGGGUAGUCCUAGGUGUAAACGCUGUGGACUUGGUGUUGGGGAUUCUCCGAGGAUUCUCAGUGCCGAACCGAAG